GCGAUCGUAACUCAGUGGUAGAGUGCCUGCCCGACACGCAGGAAGCCCCUGGUUCAAAUCCAGGCGAUCGCACCA
This 75-nucleotide transfer RNA is filed under the name Sulfitobacter litoralis. RNAcentral describes it as "tRNA-Val". It matches the Rfam family "tRNA". From Rfam's summary of the family: Transfer RNA (tRNA) molecules are approximately 80 nucleotides in length. Their secondary structure includes four short double-helical elements and three loops (D, anti-codon, and T loops). Lineage: Bacteria; Pseudomonadati; Pseudomonadota; Alphaproteobacteria; Rhodobacterales; Roseobacteraceae. The record is from RNAcentral. RNAcentral also lists the same sequence under 1 other name.